Sapajus apella (tufted capuchin) is the source of this 1387-nucleotide long non-coding RNA. RefSeq lists it as uncharacterized. The transcript has 2 exons. The record is from RefSeq and is a predicted model, not a curated record. NCBI's taxonomy places the organism in Eukaryota, Metazoa, Chordata, Mammalia, Primates, Cebidae.
GUUUUUAUUCAUGUUCAGAAGAAAAAUACAUACAUUUCGCACCAACAUACUUUGAAAUCCAUUUCUCUCCCUUUGACUAUAUGGGAUUAUCAAAAAAGUAUUUUUCAAGACAUUAAAAAUAAGUAAAGGAAAAGGAAAUAUUUUUAGAACAUUCAAAAUCCAAUGAAGUUCAGUGUUUCUUUAGUUGAGGGCAGAGGUGGAGGAGAAUUUCGGAAGGUAGUGAACCCAAAGGUGGAUUCUUACAUAAUUCUACUAUUCUGUUCUCUAACCCAUCUGUUUACUACCCUAACCAUAGUUACCAAGUAGAGUUUUAUUGUUAGUAUAGGUAGCUAUCAAAGUGUUGACAUUCAAAGGAGAUUACAAAUGAUUAUUUUUCUAUCAAAUGGACCGACCAUGUCCACAGUAUUCCUUGAACUACCUUCCAGUUUUCCUGGGCUGCAUCUACCAUUUAUGCCUAGUUUAACUUUUUUCUGACUUCGCCAAUUGCUGCUAGGAAUGUGCUGGUCAUUCAGCAGCACAACCAGAUCACAGGGGAAGAUCUUGAAAUAUCUGGACGAACUGAUCGGUCUGAAUACACUGCCCUGAAUACACUCAAUUCAAAGAAGUGCCAGGGAACUACAUCUUCUUGCUGAAGCCUUGAAUUUUUGUCAGAUUUUCUUUACUGUGGACAGUAAAGCUGGAAAGAAGAUCUAAAUAACCCAGCUGGAAAUGCAGAUAGAUGAAAGUGCAAGAGUUGGUUUGUGGUCAUCUGGAGUCCACGUCUCCAAGGCUGCUGGACCUUCAAAUUUUGCAACUUGUUAGAUCUUCUGGAUGAUAGCACAACUGUUAGAAGACCUGGAAGAAUACAGUGUUGCUGGGACUGAGUGGUGUUCAAUGAGACCAUCUACCAGCUGGGGAAAGAAUUAAUUACAACAGGACCAAAGGGAUUCAUUCCUCAUUUUAACUGAUACUACAAUGAAGAUGGGUUCUUGAACUUUUGGAAGCCUGGAUAAGCCACCUAAUCUGCAAGAUAAAAAAACAAAAACUAAUACAUACUGGAGAAAAUAAUGCUUAGUACUUGAAGAUUGAAUGUUGAAUACCUAAUUGAAUAUUCCUAUUGACGUUUUUUCUUUUUUCCUAAACAUACUUCAGAAACAUCUUAGGACAGUUGACUGGAAAAAUGUUGAACCCUUGGUGGAAUAGCAUACCAUUGACCCAUCUGAAGAGUUAAAGCUGUAUUUUUGACUGCUCUAUUCUACCAGAAUACUGUUAGGCUAGCCUUUUACCGGUUUCUAAACAAUUGUAAUCAUUUAUUGACUCAGCAGUUCCUCAGACAACAGGCUAAAAGAUGUACAGAUGUAUUUCAAUUUGAGUUUCCCUGAUAUUAAAGGCAUAAGAGUUUCUUAGU